AGUGAACGCUGGCGGUAGGCCUAACACAUGCAAGUCGAACGGCAGCACAGUAAGAGCUUGCUCUUACGGGUGGCGAGUGGCGGACGGGUGAGGAAUACAUCGGAAUCUACUUUUUCGUGGGGGAUAACGUAGGGAAACUUACGCUAAUACCGCAUACGACCGACGGGUGAAAGCAGGGGAUCUUCGGACCUUGCGCGAUUGAAUGAGCCGAUGUCGGAUUAGCUAGUUGGCGGGGUAAAGGCCCACCAAGGCGACGAUCCGUAGCUGGUCUGAGAGGAUGAUCAGCCACACUGGAAAUAAGACACGGUCCAGACUCCUACGGGAUGCAGCAGUGGGGUAUAUUGGACAAUGGGCGGAAGCCUGCUCCAGCCAUACCGCGUGCGAGAAGAAGGCCUUCGGGUUGUAAAGCCCUUUUGUUGGGACAGAAAAGCAGCAGGUUAAUACCCCGCUGUUCUGACGGUACCCAAAGACUAAGCACCGGCUAACUUCGUG
RNAcentral lists this ribosomal RNA (492 nucleotides) under uncultured bacterium. RNAcentral describes it as "partial 16S ribosomal RNA". It matches the Rfam family "Bacterial small subunit ribosomal RNA", at positions 29 to 507 of the family's 1533-position model. The record is from RNAcentral.